AUCCAACUGACGAGUCUCAAAUUGGUCGAAACACACGUCCUGGAU
Molecule: non-coding RNA, 45 nt
Organism: Schistosoma rodhaini
Lineage: Eukaryota; Metazoa; Platyhelminthes; Trematoda; Strigeidida; Schistosomatidae
Source: Rfam